Molecule: long non-coding RNA, 890 nt
Organism: Pseudophryne corroboree (corroboree frog)
Lineage: Eukaryota; Metazoa; Chordata; Amphibia; Anura; Myobatrachidae
Exons: 4
Source: RefSeq, a predicted model, not a curated record
CAUUUCCUGUCUGGGUACUAUAAUUAGAAGCCAGGACUGUGAUGCUGUCCUGAUGCUCUGAUGUCUGCUAGCUGAUUAUCUUGGACUUUAGCUUGGAUGAAUGGAUAUCCCUACUGGUAGAAAUCGUCGGCCACUACACUGGUAGUUCACUUGACCCAUAUGUUGUCCUUGAGGGCUUUGAAUUACUACUUAUAAUGUGCACAUGAAUUUGGAUGUCAUAAUUAUGCUCGUCUUGACAGAGAUUCUACACUGGAAUCGAAACGUUGACAUACUGAGCUAUUAUAUCGAACAUUAAAGAUGACUAUAUUUGGACUGGACCAAUUUAUUCUUAGGAGAGUGCAUCUCCCUGCAUAGGGAUCGGCUUUAUAUUUGUGGACUCAUUAUUUCAAUGUACUUCCACUGGAUGCACCCCGCCGUUGCUAUUUAUUAGAUGAGAGUGCGGGUAUACUCACUAUAUAUAUAUAUAAAUAUAUGCAGGUGCAAAGUUUGUGGCACUCGCAGGACUUCCAGGUAUCCACAGGUUAUACUCACAUCCUAGCAGCACACUCCUUCUUAUCAACGUUUCAUUUUAAUAACAUAAAAUUUUGUCAGAACUUUGUUAUUAAAAUGGUAAGCCUAACUAUGCCUAACCUUGUACUUCCAGCAUGAUGGUGUUGGACAACGGACAUUUCUUUGUAAAGGUUGAAAUGCUUUAUUUGAUAAUUGAUAGAGAUAGAUAUAUAGAUAUAUAUAUAUAUAUAUAUAUAUAUAUAUAUUUUUGAUGAUUGAUGAAAUAUAUAUCAUUGCUCCACGUCAUUAUGCAGCAUGAAUCCUAGACAGCAGCUGAGUCAGGCCGAAGGGCUUUGUAUGUCAGAAUAAUCAUACUAUUAAACCAACCUAAUGAACAGCAA